UUGGUUGGGUAUUGAAUAUUUAAUCGGAUUGUGAUUAAGUUAUUGAGGUAACCCGGUUUGAUCUGUAUUGUUUGAAAUAAAAGUCUUUAGGGGUUAAUGACCAUGUCCCGGAUAUCCUUGACAUCAUUGUAUUAUAAAAUGGUCACGUCUUAUGCACGGGGUGUAGGCAUACACCUGACAGCUGCAUAAGGGAAACGGUAUCUCACGCUCAGUGGGCCUAUACUUGUGACGUGUCUGUUAAUCUUGACUCGGUUUCUAUAUCGGGCCCUGAACGUACAACGAACAUGUAAAUCUGUAUACAAGAUCAUAAUUAUGAUUGUCUCAAGUUAUAAAAGAUUAAUUUUGCCUCUGUGCAUUUUAAUCAAAGUGUCAAAAUAAUUUGUGCCUGGUGCAUCUAAAUCAAUUUUCCUAAACUCUUUUCAAAUGAGUCAGUUGAGUGUACAAGUACGUAAUAGGCUGGGAGCUGCUCAGGACAUUAAUAAGGAAUCUUGCAAGUUCUAGGCGUCUAAAGUCUGUUGAACAAUUUCUUUGUUUUGAUUCACCUGUGGAUCCUUUACUUUCCGUCGUAACACUUGAUAUUAUUUCAUAUCCGGAACGUAAUAUAUUUUAUCUUUUGCUUCCGCUGUGCAUUCAUAUAAUUGUGUGGUUUGACUAUAUUGUUGC
Molecule: long non-coding RNA, 663 nt
Filed under: Helianthus annuus (common sunflower)
Lineage: Eukaryota; Viridiplantae; Streptophyta; Magnoliopsida; Asterales; Asteraceae
Description: sRNA HanXRQr2_Chr03g0126961
Source: RNAcentral